AGUGAACGCUGGCGGUAGGCCUAACACAUGCAAGUCGAACGGCAGCACAGUAAGAGCUUGCUCUUACGGGUGGCGAGUGGCGGACGGGUGAGGAAUACAUCGGAAUCUACUUUUUCGUGGGGGAUAACGUAGGGAAACUUACGCUAAUACCGCAUACGACCUACGGGUGAAAGCAGGGGAUCUUCGGACCUUGCGCGAUUGAAUGAGCCGAUGUCGGAUUAGCUAGUUGGCGGGGUAAAGGCCCACCAAGGCGACGAUCCGUAGCUGGUCUGAGAGGAUGAUCAGCCACACUGGAACUGAGACACGGUCCAGACUCCUACGGGAGGCAGCAGUGGGGAAUAUUGGACAAUGGGCGCAAGCCUGAUCCAGCCAUACCGCGUGGGUGAAGAAGGCCUUCGGGUUGAAAGCCCUUUUGUUGGGAAAGAAAAGCAGCAGGUUAAUACCCCGCUGUUCUGACGGUACCCAAAGAAUAAGCACCGGCUAACUUCGUG
Molecule: ribosomal RNA, 491 nt
Filed under: uncultured bacterium
Lineage: Bacteria
Description: partial 16S ribosomal RNA
Rfam family: Bacterial small subunit ribosomal RNA
Source: RNAcentral